Long non-coding RNA from Peromyscus maniculatus bairdii (prairie deer mouse), 773 nucleotides. RefSeq lists it as uncharacterized. The record is from RefSeq and is a predicted model, not a curated record. NCBI's taxonomy places the organism in Eukaryota, Metazoa, Chordata, Mammalia, Rodentia, Cricetidae.
UCCCACCCCAAUGGAGCAGGCUCUCUGCAUCUGCUGAGCACUGUGGAGGCCAGCUGAGACUUACCCAUCAGAACUGGUCUCUGAGAAUGAACUCUGGGAGGUGGUACCUUAUUUCCAGUAUCCAGGGACUGAAGUGGGGUGGUUGAUAACAGAGCAGCUGAAGAGGCCCUCAGGACCCCUGGAGCAUCAUGCCUGUGUGGUCCUCUGUGCUCCUCAUCAGAACCUUUCCUAGCCCUCAUGUGGUGUCUGGGCAGUCCCACCCCCCAUUAGUUAAUUCUGCCCCUUUGAUACUUGUAACAUGAUGGAAACUCUAGAGAAGCAUCCCAGGGCCCAGGAGCCGCUGCCUGCCAUCAUGGUGGAAAAUAAAUCUCCUUCCCGGGUAGCAGACAGUGCCUGCAGUAUUUCAUAAUUGGCGAGAUGAAGAGCCCCGGUUUUUUGAGAUGUUUGGGAAUAACUCAGUUUAAAAGACCACGUCCUAACAACCGGAAUGGGCCGAUUAUUCCAGGAUAAUCCACUGAGAAUUGUUGCUGCACGAGGAUGCCUGGAAUUUCCACAAAAGAGGCAUUGAGAGAGCCCACUGCACUGAUGAUGAUGAUGAUGAUGAUGAUGAUGAUGAUGAUGAUGAUGAUGGCAGAGUUAUCUGAAAUCUUCAGAAUGACCACAAAGUGUUACAACGAAUCAAAGGGAUCAUCCUGCUCAUGGAUGGAAGUGCAUGGUGAAGAAGAUGUCAGGUUGAACCAGAGGGAAAUACAGGAUUGUAAAAUGUCAUGAAA